GGGUUAAGUCCCGCAACGAGCGCAACCCCUAUCUUUAGUUGCCAGCGAGUUAUGUCGGGGACUCUAGAGAGACUGCCUGUGUAAACAGAGAGGAAGGAGGGGACGACGUCAAGUCAUCAUGGCCCUUACGCCUAGGGCUACACACGUGCUACAAUGGCGCAUACAGAGUGUUGCAAGCUAGUGAUAGCAAGCCAAUCACAAAAAGUGCGUCUCAGUUCGGAUUGAAGUCUGCAACUCGACUUCAUGAAGCUGGAAUCGCUAGUAAUCGCGUAUCAGCAAUGACGCGGUGAAUACGUUCCCGGACCUUGUACACACCGCCCGUCAAGCCAUGAAAGUCUGGUGGACCUGAAGGCCGUAACCGCAAGGAGCGGCUCAGGGUAAAACAGGUAAUUAGGGCUAAGUCGUAACAAGGUAGCCGUACCGGAAGGUGCGGCUGGAACACCUCCUUU
RNAcentral lists this ribosomal RNA (449 nucleotides) under rhizosphere bacterium GWR11. Its description in RNAcentral is "bacterial SSU rRNA". It matches the Rfam family "Bacterial small subunit ribosomal RNA", at positions 1077 to 1533 of the family's 1533-position model. The record is from RNAcentral.